This 1027-nucleotide long non-coding RNA is filed under the name Gossypium barbadense (sea-island cotton). Its description in RNAcentral is "long non-coding RNA (GBAR_LNC005262)". Lineage: Eukaryota; Viridiplantae; Streptophyta; Magnoliopsida; Malvales; Malvaceae. The record is from RNAcentral.
GGAUUUUAUAAAACAAUAUACACCAUCAUUAACCAUUUCAUAAAACUAUGAAUUACUUCCUUUACUUACUUUUCAUUCCAUUUACUAAGCAUAAACAUAAAUAACAACAUCAAUUCAAUAAUUAGUAUAUUUAUUCACAUCAUAGGUUAGUUCAUCCAUAACAUACGUAAUUUCUCAUAUAUAAGUACAUCUUUCAAUUUAUCAAUACCUUUUUUUUCAUAUCAUAUUUCAUUAAUGAUCUUACUGUUUCAUUACCUUUUCUUACCCGUUUCAUUUGUAUAAUACCAAACAUAAGCAUAAACAUCAAUCAUUAUCUCAAGAUUGACAUAAGCCUAGUCACCAUCAUCAAUACACAAGUUAGUGCAUUUAAAUAUACAACUCAUUUGGGGUCAAUCACAUGCUAAACCAUUUUAUAAGAAAAUACAUAUUUUGAAUCAUACCACCUUCUCAUGAACAUAAGCAUAUUCUCAUUUUUGUCAAUUACCAUUUCAAUAUAUAUCAUUAAUAUUAAACAUGAUAUAAUGUACCCUUAAGCUUAACAUAAACCUAAGCAUCAUCUACAAUCUCAACUAUUGAAUUCAUUUAUAUUCAGAUCAAUAUUCAAUAAAUAACAAAUCUUUCAAAUUCAUUAAAUAAAUUACCUUACCAAGAUUUUUCAUUCGAAGAACGACUUACAGAUAAGAGGACAUCGUUAAUCCAACCAAAUACAAUAGAUGCUCAUAGGAGCCAAUCCCUUCAAAACACAACAGAUGCUCACACGAGUCAAUCCCUCCAACAUACCAAUGCUCAUAAGAGUUAAUCCAACCAAAACACCAAAUAGAGAGUAUAACACGAAAAUUCGCAACACAUGUUAAACCUCGAUUUACUUGAGCAAUAUGAAUAUACAUCACUCCAUAGCCAUCUCCACUCCAAUCCCCCAUAACACACCAAAUCAUGACUGUACUCUGUCCCGCACUUAAUCUAAUUCGAACAUCAAUUUUCAAUAAUAUUUCUCAAAUAAUCAUUCAUUAUCAUCAAUUGAAUAAAU